Molecule: ribosomal RNA, 1436 nt
Filed under: Streptococcus thermophilus
Lineage: Bacteria; Bacillati; Bacillota; Bacilli; Lactobacillales; Streptococcaceae
Description: bacterial SSU rRNA
Rfam family: Bacterial small subunit ribosomal RNA
Source: RNAcentral
GCGUGGCCGCUAUACAUGCAGUAGAACGCUGAAGAGAGGAGCUUGCUCUUCUUGGAUGAGUUGCGAACGGGUGAGUAACGCGUAGGUAACCUGCCUUGUAGCGGGGGAUAACUAUUGGAAACGAUAGCUAAUACCGCAUAACAAUGGAUGACACAUGUCAUUUAUUUGAAAGGGGCAAUUGCUCCACUACAAGAUGGACCUGCGUUGUAUUAGCUAGUAGGUGAGGUAAUGGCUCACCUAGGCGACGAUACAUAGCCGACCUGAGAGGGUGAUCGGCCACACUGGGACUGAGACACGGCCCAGACUCCUACGGGAGGCAGCAGUAGGGAAUCUUCGGCAAUGGGGGCAACCCUGACCGAGCAACGCCGCGUGAGUGAAGAAGGUUUUCGGAUCGUAAAGCUCUGUUGUAAGUCAAGAACGGGUGUGAGAGUGGAAAGUUCACACUGUGACGGUAGCUUACCAGAAAGGGACGGCUAACUACGUGCCAGCAGCCGCGGUAAUACGUAGGUCCCGAGCGUUGUCCGGAUUUAUUGGGCGUAAAGCGAGCGCAGGCGGUUUGAUAAGUCUGAAGUUAAAGGCUGUGGCUCAACCAUAGUUCGCUUUGGAAACUGUCAAACUUGAGUGCAGAAGGGGAGAGUGGAAUUCCAUGUGUAGCGGUGAAAUGCGUAGAUAUAUGGAGGAACACCGGUGGCGAAAGCGGCUCUCUGGUCUGUAACUGACGCUGAGGCUCGAAAGCGUGGGGAGCGAACAGGAUUAGAUACCCUGGUAGUCCACGCCGUAAACGAUGAGUGCUAGGUGUUGGAUCCUUUCCGGGAUUCAGUGCCGCAGCUAACGCAUUAAGCACUCCGCCUGGGGAGUACGACCGCAAGGUUGAAACUCAAAGGAAUUGACGGGGGCCCGCACAAGCGGUGGAGCAUGUGGUUUAAUUCGAAGCAACGCGAAGAACCUUACCAGGUCUUGACAUCCCGAUGCUAUUUCUAGAGAUAGAAAGUUACUUCGGUACAUCGGUGACAGGUGGUGCAUGGUUGUCGUCAGCUCGUGUCGUGAGAUGUUGGGUUAAGUCCCGCAACGAGCGCAACCCCUAUUGUUAGUUGCCAUCAUUCAGUUGGGCACUCUAGCGAGACUGCCGGUAAUAAACCGGAGGAAGGUGGGGAUGACGUCAAAUCAUCAUGCCCCUUAUGACCUGGGCUACACACGUGCUACAAUGGUUGGUACAACGAGUUGCGAGUCGGUGACGGCGAGCUAAUCUCUUAAAGCCAAUCUCAGUUCGGAUUGUAGGCUGCAACUCGCCUACAUGAAGUCGGAAUCGCUAGUAAUCGCGGAUCAGCACGCCGCGGUGAAUACGUUCCCGGGCCUUGUACACACCGCCCGUCACACCACGAGAGUUUGUAACACCCGAAGUCGGUGAGGUAACCUUUGGAGCCAGCCGCCUAGAG